Molecule: ribosomal RNA, 502 nt
Filed under: uncultured bacterium
Lineage: Bacteria
Description: bacterial SSU rRNA
Rfam family: Bacterial small subunit ribosomal RNA
Source: RNAcentral
GACGAACGCUGGCGGCGUGCUUAACACAUGCAAGUCAAGGAGAAACCUCGAUUCGUCGGGGAGUAAACUGGCGCACGGGUGAGUAAUAUGUAAGUAAUCUACCUUUAGGUUUAGAAUAACCCCGAGAAAUCGGGGCUAAUACUAAAUAAUACAGCAGUAUCGCAUGAUAAUGUUGUUAAAGUUGCUUUGAUUCGUCGUUGUAACGCCUAUAGAUGAGUUUGCAUCUGAUUAGUUUGUUGGUAGGGUAAAAGCUUACCAAGACUAUAAUCAGUAGCUGGUCUGAGAGGAUGAUCAGCCACACUGGAACUGAGACACGGUCCAGACUCCUACGGGAGGCAGCAGUGAGGAAUAUUGGGCAAUGCCCGAAAGGGUGACCCAGCAACGCCGCGUGGAGGAUGAAAUCCGUAAGGUUGUAAACUCCUGUUAGAGGGGACGAAAAACUAGGUUCCGUAAGGCUCCUAGCUUGACUGUACCCUCAGAGAAAGCCCCGGCUAACUACGUG